GAUGAACGCUGGCGGCGUGCUUAACACAUGCAAGUCGAACGAAGCGCUUAAAUGGAUUUCUUCGGAUUGAAGUUUUUGUGACUGAGUGGCGGACGGGUGAGUAACGCGUGGGUAACCUGCCUCAUACAGGGGGAUAACAGUUAGAAAUGACUGCUAAUACCGCAUAAGCGCACAGUGUUGCAUGGCACAGUGUGAAAAACUCCGGUGGUAUGAGAUGGACCCGCGUCUGAUUAGCUAGUUGGUGGGGUAACGGCCUACCAAGUCGACGAUCCAUAGCCGGACUGAGAGGUUGAACGGCCACAUUGGGACUGAGACACGGCCCAG
RNAcentral lists this ribosomal RNA (324 nucleotides) under uncultured bacterium. Its description in RNAcentral is "bacterial SSU rRNA". It matches the Rfam family "Bacterial small subunit ribosomal RNA", at positions 28 to 334 of the family's 1533-position model. The record is from RNAcentral.